This 404-nucleotide ribosomal RNA is filed under the name uncultured Glomus. RNAcentral describes it as "SSU rRNA". It matches the Rfam family "Eukaryotic small subunit ribosomal RNA", at positions 569 to 978 of the family's 1831-position model. The record is from RNAcentral. Lineage: Eukaryota; Fungi; Glomeromycota; Glomeromycetes; Glomerales; Glomeraceae.
CGCAGCCGCGGUAAUUCCAGCUCCAAUAGCGUAUAUUAAAGUUGUUGCAGUUAAAAAGCUCGUAGUUGAAUUUCGGGGUUAGUAGGCUGGUCGUGCUUAUGGUAUGUACUGGCCUUACUGAUUCCUCCUUCUUGAAGAACUGUAAUGCCAUUAAUUUGGUGUUGUGGGGAAUCAGGACUGUUACUUUGAAAAAUUAGAGUGUUUAAAGCAGGCUAACGCUUGAAUACAUUAGCAUGGAAUAAUAGAAUAGGACGUUCGAUCCUAUUUUGUUGGUUUCUAGGAUUAACGUAAUGAUUAAUAGGGAUAGUUGGGGGCAUUAGUAUUCAAUUGUCAGAGGUGAAAUUCUUGGAUUUAUUGAAGACUAACUACUGCGAAAGCAUUUGCCAAGGAUGUUUUCAUUAAUC